CCUACGGGUGGCAGCAGUGAGGAAUAUUGGUCAAUGGGCGCGAGUCUGAACCAGCCAAGUAGCGUGAAGGAUGACUGCCCUAUGGGUUGUAAACUUCUUUUAUAAAGGAAUAAAACGAGGCACGUGUGCCUUUUUGUAUGUACUUUAUGAAUAAGGAUCGGCUAACUCCGUGCCAGCAGCCGCGGUAAUACGGAGGAUCCGAGCGUUAUCCGGAUUUAUUGGGUUUAAAGGGAGCGUAGAUGGGUUGUUAAGUCAGUUGUGAAAGUUUGCGGCUCAACCGUAAAAUUGCAAUUGAUACUGGCAGUCUUGAGUACAGUUGAGGUAGGCGGAAUUCGUGGUGUAGCGGUGAAAUGCUUAGAUAUCACGAAGAACCCCGAUUGCGAAGGCAGCUUACUAAACUGUGACUGACAUUGAUGCUCGAAAGUGUGGGUAUCAAACAGGAUUAGAUACCCUAGUAGUC
RNAcentral lists this ribosomal RNA (460 nucleotides) under uncultured bacterium. Its description in RNAcentral is "partial 16S ribosomal RNA". It matches the Rfam family "Bacterial small subunit ribosomal RNA", at positions 338 to 795 of the family's 1533-position model. The record is from RNAcentral.